AGAUAUUUCAUGCUGAAUUUGUAAGCUGGUGGUGGAUUCCAGUUCAGAAACAAGGAUAUUUUUGGCCUUUAUUAAUGUUCACUAACUCAGAUGAUAUUUGUGGAGGGCUUAGUUAGUGCCUGGCGGGUUGCCAGCGACAUCCGGCGAAUAGGACAUGACACCUGCCCUGUGCUCCUAAGGAGGUAGUGAAGGCUGGACAGAAGCCAGUCACUGCUGCGACGGUGUGAUUCCAGCUCCACCGGAAGGAACCCAAGGGGACAGUAUGAAUGCAGUCCCCCAUUACCACAAAUUAUGCAGCGUUUCCUCCAUUUGGGGAAAUUGCAAGAGUCAGCACAUCCAUUGUGCAAUGGAUAAGUCUCGCCCUGGGAAAACCACCUUUGUGAUCAUGGUGUUUCCCCUACCAGAAUCUCAACACACCUAUGUGGGUAUUUAGGGCUACUCUCUGCCCCCAAAAGAGCUGGAUCUCCGGGAGUCAGACAGGUGACCUCCCAGAUCCCAUAGCCAAGAACUGAAAUCCAAACCUUCUGACUCCAGAUCCUCAUACUCGCCUGAUGUUGGACACCAGAGAGAACUUCUUAACACGUACAUCUCUCUCCAAAUGGAGCUGGGCAGCCUCUAAGCGCAGUGACCUCCUCCCUGGAGCGUCCCAGCAGACACCUGCCAGGAAGUGGUUUUGAGACUGUACUUAGUAUCUAAAGUCCCUUAGAAUUCAUAAGACUCUCUGAGUCUGUAACUGGGAAAUAUUUCAAAACAAUAACCUUGAG
This is a long non-coding RNA of Mustela erminea (ermine), 764 nucleotides long. RefSeq lists it as uncharacterized. NCBI's taxonomy places the organism in Eukaryota, Metazoa, Chordata, Mammalia, Carnivora, Mustelidae. The transcript is spliced from 3 exons. The record is from RefSeq and is a predicted model, not a curated record.